GACGAACGCUGGCGGCGUGCUUAACACAUGCAAGUCGAACGGAAAGGCCCUGCUUUUGUGGGGUGCUCGAGUGGCGAACGGGUGAGUAACACGUGAGUAACCUGCCCUGACUUUGGGGUUACUUUCGGAAACUGGGGCUUAUUACGGGAAAGGAGUCCCGCCGCCUGGUGGGGGGUGGGAAGGUUUCGGCGGUUGGGGAUGGACUCGCGGCUUAUCAGCUUGUUGGUGGGGUAGUGGCUUACCAAGGCUUUGACGGGUAGCCGGCCUGAGAGGGUGACCGGCCACAUUGGGACUGAGAUACGGCCCAGACUCCUACGGGAGGCAGCAGUGGGGAAUAUUGCACAAUGGGCGGAAGCCUGAUGCAGCAACGCCGCGUGCGGGAUGACGGCCUUCGGGUUGUAAACCGCUUUCGCCUGUGACGAAGCGUGAGUGACGGUAAUGGGUAAAGAAGCACCGGCUAACUACGUG
This 468-nucleotide ribosomal RNA is filed under the name uncultured bacterium. Its description in RNAcentral is "partial 16S ribosomal RNA". It matches the Rfam family "Bacterial small subunit ribosomal RNA", at positions 28 to 507 of the family's 1533-position model. The record is from RNAcentral.